Spea bombifrons (plains spadefoot toad) is the source of this 1535-nucleotide long non-coding RNA. RefSeq lists it as uncharacterized. The record is from RefSeq and is a predicted model, not a curated record. The transcript is spliced from 2 exons. NCBI's taxonomy places the organism in Eukaryota, Metazoa, Chordata, Amphibia, Anura, Pelobatidae.
CACCGACUUUUCUUUCCCGGCCAGCAUUUGCCCGUAGCUGGCUUGGCUAUCUCGUAAAGAGGGGAGUCAACAGGAAUAUUAUAAAUGCUAUCCAUUGGCGUUCUUCACCAUCCUGCCACGUGCUCCGAGGCUCUUCGCUACUCCCCCUCCGCUGGAUUUAAUGUAGGACGGAUGCACGCUGGCUAUUUCAAUUCAUAUACAUAAAAUAUAAAUAUACAUAUAUAAAUAUAUACAGUCGGUGUUCUAAAUGAACAUCAGCUGCUGAGGAAGCUUUUUGUAAAAAAAAAAAUGGAAAAAAAAUGAAAAACCUUUUUUAUAAGAAAAGAGGGGAAAAAAAGCUAAAAAAAAAAAAAUCUGCAGUAGCUUAAAGCAUGAAGAUUUUUUUUUGUACAAAAGCAAACUUUAAAUCACUUAGGAUUUGUUAUUUCAGUAAUGUUUAACUUUUAUUCAACCCAUCCUUGUGUUGAGUUCAUUAAAUGUGUAUAUAUAUUAUAUAUUUUUUUUCCCUUUUUUUUGCUCUAUUUUUAAUCUAUCUCUUGCAGGUUCCAGAUGUUUAAUUUGUCAGCGCAAGCCAUGCACAAACCUUACCCUUGUGAUAUUUUUGGCUUUUUCUAAAUAAAAAUGAAAAGUUUGGGGCACAUUGAAGGGAAACUAGUUCCUUUUUGUAGAAUUUUUUUUUUUUUUUAGAGGGGUCGGGUAUUGGUCUCGUUUGACUUAAAUGCCCGAAGGAGAAGAAUGCGUGAGAUAACGGGGUCCCGGUGUCGUAGGACUGUUUGCUAGAACCCAAGGCUGGGCAGCCAUGUUUUUCCCGGUAUCGUAGGACGGUUCGCUGGAACCCGAGGUUGGGCGGCCAUGUUUUUCCCGGUAUCGUAGGACUGUUCGAGGUUGGGCGGCCAUGUUUUUCCCGGUAUCGUAGGACUGUUCGAGGUUGGGCGGCCAUGUUUUCCCCGGUAUCGUAGGACUGUUCGAGGUUGGGCGGCCAUGUGCUUGGAGCUUUCAGGCAGACCUCGUGCGCAGUGACGAGAGGCGUCUGACAAUUCUAUGAAUUGCCAGUUUACUUGUUCCCAAGACUGCGUGCGUUCUCAGUAAACGUAGUACCGGCUCGAACACGUGGGUAUGAUGAGGCAGCAGCGAAAUCCAACAUCUCCAUGUUUUACGGUGAGAAAAAGAAAAAGAACUUUUAGCCUUUUUACGAAGUGUCCCUCACUUAUCGUCACGUAGUUUUUCGUUUCACCCAAGAAGCGACUUGCGGCUUUUGUCAAAGAUUAAAAAAAAAAAAAAAUCUGGCAGCUUUUUGGAGGGGGCAGCGGUGUGACGGAGACCCGCGUACCAUCUCCUGCCGCCAUCUUGUUUUGUAUUAUAGUGUUACUGUGUGUUACCGCCUAGACUUUCCUGCUAAAACCUCACCCGCCUUUUUUCUUUGAGAAGAAAAGCUAUUACUUCCAUUGUAGAGGAGUUAUCCAAGUGAUCCAAUAUUACAAUAGUGCUAUCUGUCGUUUUUGUGCUAUUUUGAACAAUUAAAGACAUUUUUUGAA